UACAGGGGGUGCAAACGUUGCUCGGAAUCAUUGGGCGUAAAGCGCACGUAGGCGGUUCGUUAUGUCGGAUGUGAAAGCCCUUGGCUUAACCGAGGAAGUGCAUCCGAAACUGGCGAGCUAGAGUACGAAAGAGGAUCGCGGAAUUCCCGGUGUAGAGGUGAAAUUCGUAGAUAUCGGGAGGAACACCGGUGGCGAAGGCGGCGAUCUGGGUCGAUACUGACGCUGAGACGCGAAAGCGUGGGGAGCGAACAGG
Molecule: ribosomal RNA, 253 nt
Filed under: uncultured bacterium
Lineage: Bacteria
Description: partial 16S ribosomal RNA
Rfam family: Bacterial small subunit ribosomal RNA
Source: RNAcentral